UACAGAGGUGGCAAGCGUUGUUCGGAAUUACUGGGCGUAAAGCGUGCGUAGGUGGUUCGUUAAGUCUGAUGUGAAAGCCCUGGGCUCAACCUGGGAAUGGCAUUGGAUACUGGCGAUCUAGAGUGCGGUAGAGGGCAGUGGAAUUCCCGGUGUAGCAGUGAAAUGCGUAGAGAUCGGGAGGAACAUCUGUGGCGAAGGCGACUGCCUGGACCAGCACUGACACUGAGGCACGAAAGCGUGGGGAGCAAACAGG
RNAcentral lists this ribosomal RNA (253 nucleotides) under uncultured bacterium. RNAcentral describes it as "partial 16S ribosomal RNA". It matches the Rfam family "Bacterial small subunit ribosomal RNA", at positions 524 to 776 of the family's 1533-position model. The record is from RNAcentral.